UGGCUCAGUGGAAACGAAUCUGACAAGUAUCCAUGAGGACGCAGGUUUGAUUCCUGGCCUCACUCGGUGGUUUAAGGAUCCUGUGUUGCCAUGAGCUGUGGUGUAGUUCUCAGACACGGCUUGGAUCUCGUGUUGCUGGGGCUGUGGUGUAGGCCCACGCCACAUGCCUAGACUGUCCUCGCGGGGUCCUUCCUCUCUGCGUGCCUGUCUCCGUUUCAACUCAUCCUGAGCCCAUUAGAGAGCUGGCCUCAGAGGACAACAGAAACGCUGACUUCCAAAGAGCAAGGAAUCUUUAGGGUAGUGUCAGGGUACAUGUCCAUUUUGCCUGAGCCAAGGGAGACAGGGAGAAAGAGGUAGCCAUCUCAAACACAAAGUAGGAGAAGCCAGCUAAAAUUUUAAAAACAUGCUAAAGCUGAGCUUAAACUUUCAUGUGAGUUUGCAAAACAUGGGGGUGCCACGUAUAGGACAAGGGUUCCAAACCCUCAUAAAGCUCUUUCCUGCAUGUUUCCACUGAAUGCUUAUGAAAAAGAGUGGGCAGCGCAGAAGUCCGUAGACAGCCUUCCUGGAGGCACACAUGUUUGGUAGGUAAUCAGUAGCCCCUAGCCGAUGAGCACAAAGCCCCACUCCUAUAUCUGUGACCUUUUCUCCUAAGAUGUAAAAAAAAAUAAAGUAAACUGUGAAGGAGAAGCUUCAAAUUCUGUCUUUCAAAAUCCUCAAGAAAAAACGACAACAACCAUAAGCCCAUAACUGAUUCUGGGAGAUGAGUGAAAACAAAACUCAUCUACUUCUGUGGGACAAACAGGCAAUCUUUUGGCUCUCAGGAUAAAGUCAAACAUCCUUGGAAGCUCAGAGGGAAGAAGGAAAAAAAGAGCCUCUCCUGGGGAAGCGAGAGCAAUAGCUCUUGGACAAAGGAGCCUGUACCUAAAGCAAGCAAGUGUCUUUUCUCCCUGGAGGAACAGCAGAGAUCUUAUGGCCCAGACCAAGUAGAAAUAUAAUGAAGGGUUUGAUUGCUCUGGGCUGCAGGAAGGGGAAGGCUCAAAAGUACAUCAGCCCAGAGCAACGUAGACUCCACCUAAGACUGUAGCUGUACCGUGGCAAUGGACAAAAUCCCUGUUCCCACAACAGGCUUUGCAUCUGGUGGAAGGUAAUAGUUAAUCUACCUGCAGAGCAGGACCGAGAGCCGGAUGAAGGACCCUGUCUGUGAUCAGGUGUGGGUAAAAGCCGGAAGCUGAGGGGGAAGGCGUCGAAGGACCCCAGCCCCUACGCUGAACGCAAAUCAAGAGCAACUGACGGUCAGAAGACAUUGAAGUCAGACCUGCCCUGAAGGUCAAGAUAAGGAUAACACAGUAACACAGGAGCACAAAUGCGGGUCAACGUCUGACUGCACCGACCUUCAUCCUGCCUCCGGAGAGACGAUACACACGCGCGUGUGCAGGUGUGAAGGUUAUCCACCUUGACAGUGCCCCUAUUAAGUAUGGUAAGUAAGAUAAUUGAAAGACGUGUCACAAAUACUAGGACAACCAAUAUCAAUGAUGUACUUUUUAAUCAUUUAAAAGUAAGUAUUUACAAUAAGCACUUACACACAGGCUAAAAGUUCUAAGACUAAACCUAUCCGUGAUGAGGAAAAUAUUCAGAGUUCAUACAUUUAAUGGUAAUUACCUUCUCUUUGGGCAAGUCCUUAUCUAGGAUUUGUAAAUGUUUCUCUAAAUUUGAUUUUGUGGUGACAGCAUACGAUGCAUCUCGGUUGUUCCUACCAGUAAAUGUAUGUAUUUCCACAACAAUAAAAUAACCGUAACCGCAUCUGUAAAGUUCUUCAUCUUGAUUGUUAGUAUAUUGUGCCCACUUCCACCGGAUUAAAUCACUUGAUUAGAGCUCAGAUUCGAAAAUCACUGCUUACCACAUAGUUUCCUUAAUUUCAAUAAUUAAAAACAAGAAAAGAAAUGUAAGUGGAAAUUAUAUAAAGGGGUUGUAUUUGUUGAGCAGUCAGUCAUUGUGAGUUGAAAAUCCAGCUAGUUGAAAAACCGCAGUUCACAUUUUGCCCUUAAGAUAAUCCAGUUAAAUUUUAAAAGCACAUUCUUUUUAUUUAUGGAAAUCAGCCAGACAACCUUUUGGCUAGAGAACUUGACAAAGGGCAAAAUGGCUAGCCUUUAUGCAAAUCAAAUCUUGAAAUUAAAUUCAAGCAAGAUACAAAAAGAGGAGUCAUUCAGCUCGGCCCUAUGUUAGGAGAUAGAUAGCAAGGUGGCCCACUUACUACAUUUAAACUGUCCUAUUUAAUUUAUCCAUGACCUCAAUAAUUUAGCUGCUCUUUUUUGAAUGGACUGUGUUGUAAACAUUUCAAGAUCUGAGAAUCCAUGGAUUUCUGCAUAUCAUUUGAUAAAAAUUGCACAAUUUAUCCUGUCUGUCUACAUGGAUCUAAUUGGGCAGAUAAAGUGUAAGUAGUUUCACCUAUAAUCUGUAGACUGAUCAUCUCGGAAGAUAAAUCUGAAUUAAGUUUCUCAUUGUUAAAAUAUGCUUACAAGGUCAGUUUCAUAGGCAUAUGGAAAUAAGAAUAGAGGACCAAGUAUUUUUACUUUUCGUAACAAGUAAAAGCAGAAAGGGGAAUGUUAACUCUUAUUGCUUGUAAACUGUUCUCAUGGAUCAGAUAAUCACAUAUUUCAAUUGAAAAUAAAUAGCUAUUGUGAGUAGGAAAGCCCGUUUGUUGGUCAGACAAGGGCAAGUUCUAAUAAUCCUAUAAAUAUAAAUUCGAUAAAAACUUAGAGACUGCUUUAGGUUUGUAUAUAAAUGAAAAACGUAUUUGGGAGUAAGCAUGUGUGUGUUUGUGUGUUUGUAAGCUGGGCAUAGGUAGUUUGAAUAGUCCUUAUGAAACAUCAUUUGCAAAGGUGGAAAGUAAUGCUUUCAUGCUAUACCCACUUGGACCAUUAGAAAUUUCAUCAAGAUUUUAUUUUGAGAAGUACUUAUCCUUAAUUACUGAUGAAAUAUUUUUAAAAUAGGUUGAAAUGGCUUAUAGAGAAUGAAUGAGCAUACGUUUUGCGAAAAUUACAUAAUGUGCUAAAACGGACUUGUGUCAAAGAACACAUGCAGCAAACCGUAGAUGCUAAGUAACAUGGUUACUGCAUUACACAAAUAACUUUAGUUUCCGGAUUAAGCCCUAAAAGACCGGGACCAAAGUUAAUCAAAAUUUAUUUUUUUCUCAUGUAAAGUUUGAUCUUUUGUUCUUGAUUUGCUUGUGGCAUUUUGCACAGUCCUUCAGGGGCCCAUAUUCCCUUCAACGUGGGCGUGGCCAUGACGUGGAACCUCAGCGCCCCCUGCUGGAUGCGUUAUAUCCAGGUCCUGAGCACUCAGCCUGCGGCCAAAAGAUGGGGCGUAAAGCACAGCGGGAGUUACAAAAGGUCUGCGUGGGCCAGGACCUGGCGUGGAAGGUACAGUUUGUGCUCACACUGUAUUAUCCCAAACUCAGGCACAGAGUCGGAGCUCACCUUGCAGGACAGGCUGGCAAGAGUGAUGCAGCUGUGUGUCUGGGUGAAGAAAGAGGAAAGAGGUCUUGCGGCCCCGGUUAGCCUGACUCACACACGUUACAUUCAUCUCUGGUCUUACGUAGGGUUUGUUGGAUCGACUUCGGAUCCUGUUACUUCCAUUUCCAAAGAAGAUUAUUUCAUUCACUUAGCCAUAAGUUAUUCAACAAGUGUUUAUUAAGUGCCGUCUCUGUACCUGGAAUGUUUAGUGACAGUGCUGUGUAUACAAACCAACCACCUGAUGUGUCUGAAGCUGAUGAGGUUUCUUGGGACUUUAAGUUCUAAAACUUGGGCAAACCAGGGAAAUGAGUGCCCUUGAAAUAUAUAUUAGUUACAUUACCACUAAAAAAUAUGCUGCCAACUUCUUGGAGUUCCCGUCGUGGUGCAGUGGUUAACGAAUCCGACUAGGAACUAUGAGGUUGCGGGUUCGAUCCCUGCCCUUGCUCAGUGGGUUAAGGAUCUGGCGUUGCUGUGAGCUGUGGUGUAGGUUGCAGAUGCGGUUUGGAUCCCAUGUUGCUGUGGCUCUGGCGUAGGCCGGUGGCUGCAGCUCCAAUUCAACUCCUAGCCUGGGAACCUCCAUAUGCUGCGGGAGCGGCCCAAGAAAUGGCAAAAAGACAAAAAAAAAUAAAUAAAAAAUAAAUUAAAAAAAUAUGCCGUCAACUUCUACUAGUAUCAAUGCUUAUUGUAAAAUAUUAGAAAGUGCAGAGAAAAUGGAAAUCUGUACAUAGCCAAGUGGUAAUAUUUUUGUAUAUAACUCUGUGAUUACUUUAUAUAAAUGGACUCAAAACAUAUACUAGUUUUCUAUCUAAUAAUUUUCUUUGUAGAAUUUUAUUUUACAGAGAAUCCAAUGAGUAUGUGUCUCUGCAUUUUUUGAGUCUUUAUAACAGACUCAAAAAUAUCUUUUAAUGUCUCUAUGGCAUUUUAAUGAAUGAACGUGUGGUUAUUCACUUUAUUAGCUUUUCAUGGUCAGACACUCAUUUCGGUUUUUGACAGCCGCGAGCACUAAUUGAACUGACGUGUUGGUAUAUACAUUUGGGGACCUUUGUGUCAGCGUAUAGUGCCGGAUGAGUAUAUGGCAUGUGCUCCAGGAGACUUACAGGGACAGGGGCAGUGGCAGGUACACCGUUGCAUUCUGGUUUUUAAUCUACUUGGUUGAGGCAGCUUGACUUACUCCUCUAGUGUGUCGGGGCUGGGGUUCUUGCCUAGAGGUUGCUGCUGUUUGGCCUGUUACAACCUCAGUCUUCAGUCUUGCUUAUCCACCCCCCACGUUCUAUCAAAAUUGUUAACCAUCAGCAGAGUCUGAGUCUUCUUACUUUGUGGGUUCCAGCUCCUGAUUGGCCUCAUCAGGGAGGGUGAUGACCUGGGCUCUGGAAGGCGGGCUUUAGCCGUUUAAUUUCAGACACGUUCAUGGCUUCCUUUCCUUUGUAUAAAUGGGUCGGAGCCCACGUCACUGGCGUUACACUGUGCAUGCACAGAAUCAAAUACAGAGUAGGUUUAUUUGCAGAAAAUGUUACUGGUAAUAAAUCAGUAAAGCUCACACAAAGUCCCAGCUUUUUAUUACUCACGGAUGAUCUGCAGGGAGCAUGCUGAGUAUCCUAACUGAGAGACACGCUGCUCCCUAAGAAUCUGCUUAUGUGCACCCGUCAGAGUCAGGAACACCUAGAAUCAUGUAACAAUGCAAGUCCCUGAUCCAGGAAGUAAGCUCAGGAAUCAAGGAUUCCAGCCGACUGGAAUCAACCCGAUCUCCUCCUCUUGAUUCAGCUCGAACCUGCUGAGCCUUUUCCCCACUAAACUACUGAAAAGGGACAGAAAGGUACAUUACCAAAAGGGUCUAGAUUUGUCUCUCCUCCCUCUCAAGAGGGCUAAUCAUUUAAAUACCAUUAGCGGAAUUCCUGUUGUAGCUCAGUAGGUUAAGAACUUGACAUAGUGUCCCUGGGGAUUUGCGUUCAAUCCCCCACCUUGCUCAGUGGGUUCACGAUCAGGUGUUGCUGUGGCUGUGGCCUAGGCUAUAGGGGCAGCUUUGAGUCAACCCCUAGGCCAGGAAUUUCCACAUGCUACAGGUUCAUCUCUAAAAAGAAAAAAAAAUGUAUAUCGUUGGCAGAACAUUUGAUUGACUAUUUAAUAGAACAUGGGUCUUUAAAGUAAGAGUUUGGGAGUUACUUUACCAAUUUGUAUAAAUACUCACUGUGCUUGUUGAGGAGAGUGGAGAUUGACUGUGAUGCUAUAUUCGUCAUGAUUAGACAGGCUAAAGUACCAGAAAAAAGCACUUUAUUAAUAAACAGAUAUUCUAAUUGCAAGAAAUACAAUUGGCUGGGGAUGAACAGUGAGUCUCUAGUGUCAUCGUGAUUUUUUCUUUAAAGUAUGUUAAUGUCUUGCACACCAAAGACCUGUGUGGUGAGAAAACCUGAAGGAAGAAAGACUUUCUAAUUCGUGAUUGUAGCUGUAUUCUUCUUCACCACGACCCUGGUAUUCUUUCCUGCCAUCUUUUAUUAAAAACAAAACCCCAAAUAUAAAACAAGGGGGAAAAAAAUCAAUGUAUUCAAAUAAUAGGGGAAGAAAGAGAAAAACUGUAUGUUUUUAGUUAUAAAUGGAGAAUAAAAUGUUGAAAAUUAUAGAAAAAAAUUAGAGUAGGAAGAAGAAAAUCUUGAAAGAUUAAGCUGGCCUCAAUUAUAAAAGUAUUAGUCAAUUAAUAGGUAUUAAAGUUUAAUUAAAAAAGGUAUCUAAACAUGAAAUUGGAACUUAAUUUAAAGACUUAAAAUUAAAGAACAUAACAUUCAGAUAAAAUAUGUCACUGUUGAAAAAUGUCCGUUAAGGGAGUUCCCAGUGUGGCUCAGUGGGUUAAGAAUCCGACACUGUGUCUGUGAGGAUACCGGUUUGAUCCUUGGCCCCACUUGGUAGGUUAAGGAUCCAGCAUUGCUGCAAGCUGCAGAGUAGGUCAC
RNAcentral lists this long non-coding RNA (6451 nucleotides) under Sus scrofa (pig). Its description in RNAcentral is "lncRNA (ENSSSCG00015070645.1)". Lineage: Eukaryota; Metazoa; Chordata; Mammalia; Artiodactyla; Suidae. The record is from RNAcentral.